This 403-nucleotide ribosomal RNA is filed under the name uncultured bacterium. Its description in RNAcentral is "partial 16S ribosomal RNA". It matches the Rfam family "Bacterial small subunit ribosomal RNA", at positions 30 to 526 of the family's 1533-position model. The record is from RNAcentral.
AUUGAACGCUGGCGGCAGGCCUAACACAUGCAAGUCGAGCGAGAGGCGGACGGGUGAGUAAUGUAUGGGGACUGCCCGAUAGAGGGGGAUAACUCCUGGAAACGGUGUCUAAUACCGCAUACUAUCGGAUAACCCAUAUGGGAUUAGCUAGUAGGUGGGGUAACGGCUAACCUAGGCGACGAUCUCGAGCUGGUCUGAGAGGAUGAUCAGACACACUGGAACUGAGACACGGGUCAGACUCCUACGGAGGCAGAAGUGGGGAAUAUUGCACAAUGGGGGAAAGCCGUAUGCAGCCAGGCCGCGUGUGUGAAGAAGGCCUUAGGGUUGUAAAGUACUUUCAGCGGGGAGGAGUUACCAGCAGAAGAAGCACCGGCUAACUCCGUGCCAGCAGCCGCGGUAAUUC